AUAAAAAGGCAUGAAAAAGAGUAAUGAAUAGAACCAAACGCUCUGUAAAACUGAUUCCUUUACCUAUCCGCCAAUGAGACACAAGGCUGACGACCAGUUCGGGGUGUGCCCCGCCUCUUUCCCGGAAUAGGAUCCAGCGCACCUUUGACCCUUCGUGAGGAUUGGCGGUACGGAAAAUGGAUGGAUCCAAAAUAACAGAAACACCCUAUCCACAGAUUCAUCUAGUAACCCCAAACCCCUCAGAGGCCUUUGUGAAUGGCCACUGGAGAGAGAGUGGUCCCAGCAGGGCACGAUGCUAAAAUCCAGGAACAUACUAGUGGAGAGCCUGAGAAGAUAGCCUGCCUGCUCUCCCAAUCAGCAAACACACUUGAGGCGGUCUAAAGAUAGAAACAACCAUAACACGGGUCUCAGUCGGUAUCUCCGGGGCGGUGUUGCUGCGGUUGGAGCCAAAAUACAAACGAAGACGUGCCAUUUUUACUUCCCGUCCGACAGCCUCAGUUCCCUCUAAAGACUCCCCGCGCCCGCUACGUCCCACCCACCUCGAGUCCCUUCCACAACUUUCCUUCCACAAGUAAACACUACAGGGGGAAAAAAAAACAAAAAACGGCACACCACAAAAGCAAGGGCCGCAAACCACACCACAUAUGAAGGAAUGAUGGGGGGAAAAAAACAAAAACUAAAGAAGGGUCUGUGUUCACCAGGUUUUUAGAGCUACGAAGCAAUAGCGACAGACAGCAGAAAUAGCCUGAGCCUAGUGACAGCAAGCAUUCCUGACAUGAUUGGAUAAGGGCAGCCAGCGCUUCUGGUUUCCAGGGUGACAGCGGGGUUGCCUGUCGGUCACGUGACUACAAAUGAUCCCCCCCAUCAACAUGUACCAUUACGAUGCAAUGCUACCCCCAAGUGCCAGGUGGGUAGAGACUUACCCGAAAAGUGACACCUUAACCUGCUCAAACGAUGAUCAUUCUUUUUCUGGACGGCCCACUAUCACCAUUAAAAUGAUAAAUACAUCAACAACAAAAGUAUUACAGCCUUUGAUUUGUUCUGGCA
This is a long non-coding RNA of Phycodurus eques (leafy seadragon), 1047 nucleotides long. RefSeq lists it as uncharacterized. The transcript is spliced from 5 exons. Lineage: Eukaryota; Metazoa; Chordata; Actinopteri; Syngnathiformes; Syngnathidae. The record is from RefSeq and is a predicted model, not a curated record.